UACGGAGGGUGCGAGCGUUGUCCGGAAUCAUUGGGCGUAAGGGCGCGUAGGUGGCUUCUUAAGCGUGCGGUGAAAGCCUGGGGCUCAACCCCGGGUCGGCCGUGCGAACUGGGGGGCUGGAGCACUGUAGAGGCAGGCGGAAUUCCGGGUGUAGCGGUGGAAUGCGUAGAGAUCCGGAAGAACACCUGUGGCGAAAGCGGCUCACUGGACCAUAACUGACGCUGAUGCACGAAAAGCUGGGGGGAGCAAACAGG
This 254-nucleotide ribosomal RNA is filed under the name uncultured bacterium. Its description in RNAcentral is "partial 16S ribosomal RNA". It matches the Rfam family "Bacterial small subunit ribosomal RNA", at positions 524 to 776 of the family's 1533-position model. The record is from RNAcentral.